ACAGACAGUUGUUGGGAUACUACAGUUGUGUUGCAUUAGCGUUUUGAAGCGAAUUAGGCUACCCCAUGCCAUGCCCUUUAACAUAAAAGUGGCUCCAGAAGGAACGAAAAGAGCAAGAUGUAAGGGUGGCAAAGCUGUCAAAACUAUCCUCAUUUGGAUUGUGGCGAAGCGUGUUGAAGAGGACGCUACGUCUGACCCCCAGCCCGGCAACAGCAAUGAGUGUGAAACUCAGCCACCAGGGAUUUUCAUUCAGGAUUCUCACGCCCUGGGAGAGUAGGAGGAGGAAGAAGGAGACAGCCGGGAGAAGCAAAAGACUUUCAAUUAAACAUCAGACCCACCAAUAACCGCAAGGAGUCCAGCAAAGGUGUGAUCUGACAGAACCGGAUUUGGAACUGGAUGAGAAACAACUGAUUCUGAAACCGAAAGUUUGAAGUUGAUCAAUUAGAAUCUGUUAAAUCAGGUGUUUCUUUGUCUUGAUGAAUCAUUCUGUUUAAUCACUCAAAUAUUUGACGUGAACAGAGGACAUUUUGUAAACCAUGUGCCUGUGAGUCUUCGAGACAGAUGGCAGUUAUAAACCCCCACCUUUGGAUUGUAGUACUGGAUGUACAAGUACUAAUCCUCCUGGAGAUUUUAUAUUGUGAAGAAGGACGCGAAAGCGACUGCCAUUGAGUUUUUCAGCUGAACAGAUAGACUGUCGUUGCUUCACCCCAAUACACACGUCCCUGUCAUACAGGAAUGCGAAAGACAAGUAAACUACUAUAAAACCUCUAUGUAUCAGCAUCAAAAUAAUUUCUCACCAUCAAAUCCUUUUUUUAAAUAGGAAAUAUUACUCUUAUUGUUUAAGUCAAUUAAAUAAAUGAAAAAAUAAAACAUAAUAAUCCCCCACCAUUAACUAUUCUGUUUUCAGACCUGUCCAACCUAUACAUACACAAUGCAUGCUAUUAAAUGUACAUGCUGGGGUAGAAGGGGAAACAAUGUAUGCAUAGGGGAGAGCAUUUCAUGGAAGGUCUUGUUUUCCAUUUGAUGUAAAUCCAAUGCACCCCCUGCUAACUCUGACAAAGAAAGUGUUACAUGCCUGAAACUUACUCUGGUUACUCACAAGGUCUGUAUGACAA
This is a long non-coding RNA of Hypomesus transpacificus, 1115 nucleotides long. RefSeq lists it as uncharacterized. NCBI's taxonomy places the organism in Eukaryota, Metazoa, Chordata, Actinopteri, Osmeriformes, Osmeridae. The transcript has 3 exons. The record is from RefSeq and is a predicted model, not a curated record.